GAACGAGAAAGUGGAGCAAUCCAUGAGUAAAGUGGCGACCGGGCGAGUAACACGUGACUAACCUGCCCUUGAGUGGGGGAUAACCUCGGGAAACCGGGGCUAAUACCGCAUAACAUCCUUGAGGUGGAAACUUUGGGGAUCAAAGGAGCAAUUCGCUUAAGGAGGGGGUCGCGGCUGAUUAGCUAGUUGGCGGGGUAAUGGCCCACCAAGGCGAUGAUCGGUAGCCGGCCUGAGAGGGCGCACGGCCACACUGGAACUGAAACACGGUCCAGACUCCUACGGGAGGCAGCAGUGGGGAAUUUUGCGCAAUGGGGGAAACCCUGACGCAGCAACGCCGCGUGGAGGAUGAAGUCCCUUGGGACGUAAACUCCUUUCGACCGGGACGAUAAUGACGGUACCGGUGGAAGAAGCCCCGGCUAACUUCGUG
RNAcentral lists this ribosomal RNA (427 nucleotides) under uncultured bacterium. RNAcentral's name for it is "bacterial SSU rRNA". It matches the Rfam family "Bacterial small subunit ribosomal RNA", at positions 64 to 507 of the family's 1533-position model. The record is from RNAcentral.